GACGUAGGGCGCGAGCGUUGUCCGGAUUUAUUGGGCGUAAAGAGCUCGUAGGCGGCUUGUCGCGUCGACUGUGAAAACUUGGGGCUCAACCCCAAGCUUGCAGUCGAUACGGGCAGGCUAGAGUUCGGUAGGGGAGACUGGAAUUCCUGGUGUAGCGGUGAAAUGCGCAGAUAUCAGGAGGAGCACCGAUGGCGAAGGCAGGUCUCUGGGCCGAUACUGACGCUGAGGAGCGAAAGCGUGGGGAGCGAACAGG
This 253-nucleotide ribosomal RNA is filed under the name uncultured bacterium. RNAcentral describes it as "partial 16S ribosomal RNA". It matches the Rfam family "Bacterial small subunit ribosomal RNA", at positions 524 to 776 of the family's 1533-position model. The record is from RNAcentral.